UCAGCUCGGAGAUUCAGUUUUCGGUCACACAAGUAGAAGUAGAAGCAGUCAGCAGCAGCGAGCAAAGGAGAAAAAAUCAUACAUCAGCGAGUGAUACGUAAAUAACGUCGUGAAGGGAAAAAGUGGCGAUUGAAGAAAAGAAAAGAAAAAAAGUAGUUUUCUGGCGAAAAUUUCCACGCGAUUUUUCCGUUUCGGAAGGAAUAUUCCGGAUUGCGGCAGUGAAGAUUUUGCGUAGAAGGGGAAAAUCCAAGGAAAAACAGAAACCUAACACACGGGCGGUGGUGGAAUUGAAGGGGCGGCGGGAGAAGGGGACACAAGUUUCGACAUCGAUUCCGGAUCAAAAUAAAGAAGGAAGGGUCAUUCAUCGGAUUCAGUGCGGAAUGAUUCUUGUAUGCUAGAAAGUGAUUAAAAGAAUUAAUCGCAUUGCUAAUUGGGAAAGUGAUUAAGAGUUUCCCCAAGCAUAAGUGAGAACAGCGCUUAGGGAUCAUCAAGUGAAAGAAGUUCCUGUCUGAAAGAAGAAAAGUCAUCCAUUCAAGGAAUCCACGAUGGCCAAUCCGAGGAAGUUCAGCGAGAAGAUCGCCCUUCACAACCAGAAGCAGGCGGAGGAGACGGCCGAAUUCGAGCGGAUUAUGCGGGAAGUUUCGGAUGUCACGUCCAAGG
Molecule: long non-coding RNA, 660 nt
Organism: Aedes aegypti (yellow fever mosquito)
Lineage: Eukaryota; Metazoa; Arthropoda; Insecta; Diptera; Culicidae
Exons: 2
Source: RefSeq, a predicted model, not a curated record